UGAACUGACACUUGCCUCAGCUGAUUAAUCAGAGAUUCAGGCUGUGAUUACCAAUUUCCCAUACAGUAUAAAAAGCUUGAAAGCUUCAGAACAAAUCUGGAAAACAGUCUUCCCCAAGAGGUAGAAACACAUGAUGAUGGCAAUGCAUCUGGCCAAAAGUAUGGCUUUGUUCUUCACAGUGAUAAAUGUCUUUCUUGGUCUACUUUGGCAGAAUGCAAGGCAGCCCUGCUAUCUCAUCAAAAGCCCAAACCCACUGGUGGGCUUCACAAGCAAUCAAAGGGAAAGAGUACUGAAGAACCUGAAGGAAUGAGGUCAACACUUUAGUAAAACUUCAGGUUGUGGCUUUGAAGGAAAGGGCUGAAAUAAACCUA
Non-coding RNA from Coturnix japonica (Japanese quail), 371 nucleotides. The record is from RefSeq and is a predicted model, not a curated record. Lineage: Eukaryota; Metazoa; Chordata; Aves; Galliformes; Phasianidae.